Long non-coding RNA from Homo sapiens (human), 1289 nucleotides. The record is from Ensembl. Lineage: Eukaryota; Metazoa; Chordata; Mammalia; Primates; Hominidae.
GUAGUUAGGUGCUCAAUAAACGGAGUUGCCGCUGAGGUCUGGGCUGGGGUCUUGUUCCUGGGAUCGGGAGGGGCUGGACGCCUGUGUGUUCUCUCCUGACGAUCGCUGGCGGCAGCCUCUGGGCUGGUCCUACCAGGGCUCAAAAUUCCCGGCACCACUGGCCUUGGGGAUCUGGGGGCGGCCCCUCUGCAGACAACAGAGUGACGGGGGCGGGACCGGGCUGGGGCUGGGGCCUUCCUGGAAUCCCGCAGGGCCUGGGGACCUGUUCACUUGGGGAGGCUGGGAGCCAGGCGGGGUCCGGGUUCCACGAAGGCCAGGUCCAGUCAGUUUCUCAGCCUCCCGGCAUGGUGCUCAAGGCCUUCUUCCCCACGUGCUGCGUCUCGACGGACAGCGGGCUGCUGGUGGGACGGUGGGUGCCGGAGCAGAGCAGCGCCGUGGUCCUGGCGGUCCUGCACUUUCCCUUCAUCCCCAUCCAGGUCAAGCAGCUCCUGGCCCAGGUGCGGCAGGCCAGCCAGGUGGGCGUGGCCGUGCUGGGCACCUGGUGCCACUGCCGGCAGGAGCCCGAGGAGAGCCUGGGCCGCUUCCUGGAGAGCCUGGGUGCUGUCUUCCCCCAUGAGCCCUGGCUGCGGCUGUGCCGGGAGAGAGGCGGCACGUUCUGGAGCUGCGAGGCCACCCACCGGCAAGCGCCCACUGCCCCCGGUGCCCCUGGUGAGGACCAGGUCAUGCUCAUCUUCUAUGACCAGCGCCAGGUGUUGCUGUCACAGCUACACCUGCCCACCGUCCUGCCCGACCGCCAGGCUGGAGCCACCACUGCCAGCACGGGGGGCCUGGCUGCCGUCUUCGACACGGUAGCACGCAGUGAGGUGCUCUUCCGCAGUGACCGCUUUGAUGAGGGCCCCGUGCGGCUGAGCCACUGGCAGUCGGAGGGCGUGGAGGCCAGCAUCCUCGCGGAGCUGGCCAGGCGAGCCUCGGGACCCAUUUGCCUGCUGUUGGCCAGCCUGCUGUCGCUGGUCUCAGCUGUCAGUGCCUGCCGAGUGUUCAAGCUCUGGCCCCUGUCCUUCCUCGGGAGCAAACUCUCCACGUGCGAACAGCUCCGGCACCGGCUGGAGCACCUCACGCUAAUCUUCAGUACACGGAAGGCGGAGAACCCUGCCCAGCUGAUGAGGAAGGCCAACACGGUGGCCUCUGUGCUGCUGGACGUGGCCCUGGGCCUCAUGCUGCUGUCCUGGCUCCACGGGAGAAGCCGCAUCGGGCAUCUGGCCGACGCCCUCGUUCCUGUGGCUGACGUG